UCACCGAGAGAUGUGGGUAAUCUUUAAAACUCCGUCGUGCUGGGGAUUGAGCAUUGCAAUUAUUGCUCAUGAACGAGGAAUUCCUUGUAAUUGCAAGUCAUCAGCUUGCGAUGAAUACGUCCCUGCCCUUUGUACACACCGCCCGUCGCUACUACCGAUUGAAUGGCUUAGUGAGGCGUCCGGAUUGGCUGGUUUCGGUGGCGACACCUUAGCCGGCCGAGAAGCUCGUCAAACUUGGUCAUUUAGAGGAAGUAAAAGUCGUAACAAGGUUUCCGUAGGUGAACCUGCGGAAGGAUCAUUAUCGAGUGAUUUAUUUCAAUUUUCUGUGAACAUGUACNGUGCUUGGGCGUUGUUGACUCCCGCCCUGGGAGUCCGAUGAACCCCAAAACCUUUAAAAACAAUUCAGUAAACCCCCAAACAUUAAAACUUUCAACAACCGAACCCCUGGGUUCCCGCAUCCAUGAAGAACGCAGNCCAAUCCCGAUACCUGAUGGGAAAUGCAGACAGUGAAUCAUUGAAUCCUUGAACCGCCCAUGNGCCCCUAAGGGAUUCACCNAGGGACUGGCGUUGGUGAAGCGUCGCNUACCCCUCGNAAUUUUCCCCGAAUUUUCCAAAGGCNGACUAAGAAAGUACCUUUUCCCAAACCACNACUUUUUGACCUCAUCUACCCAAAAAUACCCCCUGAACUUAAGCAUAUCAAUAAGCGGAGGAAAAGAAACCAACAGGGAUUGCCUCAGUAACGGCGAGUGAAGCGGCAAAAGCUCAAAUUUGAAACCGUUCGCGGGUUGUAAUUUGUAGAGUGUCUUGUGACAUUGGCAUAAGUACCUUGGAACAGGUCGUCAUAGAGGGUGAGAAUCCCGUUGCCUACGUCGUUAUACUUGAUACUCCAAGAGUCGAGUUGUUUGGGAAUGCAGCUCUAAUUGGGUGGUAAAAUCCAUCUAAAGCUAAAUAUUGGCGAGAGACCGAUAGCGAACAAGUACAGUGAUGGAAAGAUGAAAAGAACUUUGAAAAGAGAGUGAAAAAGUACGUGAAAUUGUUGAAAGGGAAGGGUAUGCUGGGAGUCUUUGAGUUGUUGUUCAGCGGUUCUUCGGGGCCGUGUAUUCAGCCUCUCUUUGGAGCCACGGCGGUUUUUGUGCGGAUAAAGCUGUUUCCUUCGGGUUUCAUCAAUACGCACAUUUGCCGUCCUGUCUCCGUAAUCCCAACAUACCACCCGUCUUGAAACACGGACCAAGGAGUCUAACGUCUAUGCGAGUGUUUGGGUGUCAAACCCCAGCGCGAAAUGAAAGUGAAAGAUAGGAACAUUUGUGCACUAUCGACGGAGCGUGAAGUUUACGGAUCGCCUCCAGUAAGCAUAGCUGUUGGGACCCGAAAGAUGGUGAACUAUGCCUGAAUAGGGUGAAGCCAGAGGAAACUCUGGUGGAGGCUCGUAGCGGUUCUGACGUGCAAAUCG
RNAcentral lists this ribosomal RNA (1450 nucleotides) under [Candida] sp. RNAcentral's name for it is "Candida sp. (in: Saccharomycetales) partial large subunit ribosomal RNA". The stretch from base 656 to 1450 matches the Rfam family "Eukaryotic large subunit ribosomal RNA", at positions 1 to 900 of the family's 3401-position model. Lineage: Eukaryota; Fungi; Ascomycota; Saccharomycetes; Saccharomycetales. The record is from RNAcentral.